This is a long non-coding RNA of Gallus gallus (chicken), 2790 nucleotides long. NCBI's taxonomy places the organism in Eukaryota, Metazoa, Chordata, Aves, Galliformes, Phasianidae. The record is from Ensembl.
AGAGAAGUGCUCAAAUCACCACAGCUGGUACUGUUUAGAUGCCUUACUAGUAACCUCAUGGAAGCCAAGGCUAUGUCACACCUGAAAGAAAAGGCUGUGGGGAAAGAAAUAAUUCUGAGUCAGCUUAACAGUCUUCCUCCUGAAGAGAAGGUAGAAUAAGUGUGGCCUUCACAAAGUAGGCUGAAAUCACUUUCUGGAGUGUCCUGCAGAUGUGAUGACUUUAUGCUGAAGAACUGUUGAUGGUGUGACCAUGGGUCUGGAGUGGAGCUGUGCAGAGAUAUCUGCAGAUCUGGAGAGAAACUGUGUUGAUAACACACCCGUGUUUUUGCUGUUGCUGACCAGUGCUGCACAGAGCUGAAGAUAUCUCAGCUUUUCAGCUUCUUGUGCUGUCCCAGCAACUGAAUAAUUUUUCCUUUCAAGAAAAAGUCUCAAAAUUUGUUGAAGUCUUAGCUACAUAGGCAGCUAAAAAGCAACAAAUUUUGUUUUCAUUGCUGCAGCAAAGAAAGAACCAAAGACCCAUAUGGAUUAUGAGCAGAAGGCAUUAUGUUGUAUUGAAUUGUGUUUUGGUGUGGAAGAUGAAGAGAAAAACAUCAACUUUCUGCCCUCUCAUAUUCACAAGGAGAUGCAAACUAAGCACUGUGGCAAGCAAAUCCUUCCAGGAUGAUCUGACAGAGCUGAAGAAGUUAUUGUUCAUCAGUACUGGAUCUUUCUUUAGCUACCACCUGCAACCUGAGCUGACAGAAGGGACCAGAUCCAGGGUUUUAUUUCCUUAACCUCAGUGUGGUGUUGUAGCACACAUCAUUUAUUUCAGAAUGCAUUUCCCCCUUCUAACAACUGGUGCUCUGUUUUGGAAGCAAAGGGAGUAACUCCACACAGAGCUAGCAGACUGCAGUUGCUCCAUUUGUAUUAAGUUAAGCUUGUGGUCCUGUUAUUCCCUCUUCACUCUCAAGAUGCACAUUAUAAAGUUAGACCAGGAAGAAAACAGCACUUCCCACUUCUGUUUAGCCAUCUCCUCAAAUCUUGUUGUAUGGACUGUUUCAAUAAGGAUCCCCAGGGGCCUCCUCCCUUCUAGUGCAGUCUGUGGAGUUAAACCAAUAUGUGCGUUGGAGCCAAGACUGUUAUGCUACUGUAAUUGUCAAAUUUGAAAUCAAUGCCUUUUUUCCCUCAUGAGCUCUUCUUUUCUCAAUAAACAAGAAUUUGGCUGCAAAAAAAAAAGGCUCUGCAUAGAGACCAUUUCAUAACAGUCUCUUAUGUGAAAUGAGGCUUUGAUUUUCCUAAAUGGGCCACUGAACUUUCCUCUCAGGAAAGCAAACCCUACAUUUAACCACAAGAAGAGGCAUUUCCAGUGCUCUUUCAUAUCAGCAUAGCAUCAGUUUUAAGUAAUUUAAUGUAACUUGCUGUGUUCUCCAAUGUGAUAGGAUUUGCACCAUUUUUUUUGUUAGACUGCGAUGUUUUCUGGGAUGAGUAGAACAAUUGUGUCAGGCUGAGGUCACUCAUACUAGAGAGAAUUGCUUGAAUUUAGCAGUAUAUGGCUGAAGGGGCAUUAAUCUUAAUCAUCUUCCAAUUGAUAGAAGGUGGUAUCAAUUCUUGGCACUUCCAUUCUUCCAUGAAAGUGGGAACAAAGCUAGGGACCAUUUUGGUUCUCCUUUUGUCUCUGUACUCUAACAGAGUGAAAUGGUCACCAGGGCUCUUUAAAAAUUUUGCUAUGCCUCUGAGAUAUUGAAAUCAUCUCUCUGCACAUAAUUCUAAACUGACACGCAGUUACUUGGCUCUGACUUCAUGUAUGGCCACAACACAAUCAUGUUAUGCCAUCUUAUGGCUGGAUGAGACCAGAUCAGUUCUUGUAUGCAUUGCUUUCCUUCUGGCUUUAGAGAUUAAUAAUAACGCAUGCAUUACAACUCAUCUCAGUGAAGUAAUUAUGUGUAAUUGCAUAAUUACCCGUUGCAGUUGUUUGACUUACUGGCAUUUGUACUAAUUAAACUAAUGGUAUGCAAAACUACAAAUUAAUUUAAAAUAAGAAAAGCACUGAGCACCGCCUCUUGAGGGUGUGUAUAUGCAGACAGUGGUACCAUGUUUGAACAGAAAUGUUGAUCCUACAUCUUUUAUUGAACAUAUCACAUAGUUUUCUUUUAUCAGGUAAAAGGAUACAGCAUUAAAUAAUAAACUAUGUAAUAAUCCUAAACAAAACAAGAUCUGAGGCUCUGGAAUUAAACCCUCUUGCUCAAGAACACUUUCUAUGCUCUGAUUAGUCAGAGGUACAAUUUCUCGCAGGUGAGUAAUCUUACACUUAUUUAUUACAAAUAUUUCUCAGUGGUGGCCAAAGCUAAACUUAAAAUGUGUCAACAAGGAGUAAGAUAAAUUUAUGUUCCUCUAGAUUAAAAUUCAGUGUUUGAGUUUUGUGCCCAGUCUACAAUUCUGACAUGCAAAUAACUUCACGAGAUCGACUCUUUUUGCUUAUGCAGUGAACUCCCAAAUCAGACUGACAGGAAUAAAAUUUGAAAUGUGAAUUUAAAUAAAGAAAACAGAAGGAUUAGCAUAAUGAAUAGCAAACAGAAUGCUGUCUUUAAAUCUGUUUCUGGAGACGUUCAUAAUCCUACAGUUGCUUUCCUGAGGAGAAUGUACUGCUUAGUUUGGACAUAGAAAAGCACAAUUUGUGCACUUACCUCCUUCAUUUGAAAUUUGUCCUAUACAAUUCUUCAAAGAAUAAAUGUCAAAAAUCACUCUUGCUGACUGCAUUCUGUUUUCUCCCUCAACGUUUGCAUGCUACUUAAUUUUAUGACUAUAAUAAGG